GAGGCUUUUAGCUUAAAAUACGGCUUGCUUGGAAACCCACUCUUGCCUCUGCAAGCCUGUUUUGCUAAGAAAUUUUCAACUGGGCCUAACCACAUAUCCCCACAAUGGAGCAUAUCCUGACAGAUUGGUCCUCCGCCCAGGAGGGUUGGGAAGAGUUGGGACGUGUCCUUUCCUUGGGUUUGCAGAGGGAACUGGUGGUAGAGGUGGGAAUUGUCCCCAGGCCUCCUGAGACCCAGCUCGGAGCCCUUACUGCCCCCGUCUCUGACCUCGACCUUCAAGAACAUGUGCCAGCAGAAGCAGAAGGAGCUGCUCAAACAGUCUGAGAAGCAGGAGAAGAAGCUGAAAGCAAAGUCCAGAAAACAGGCGGAAAAACAGAGGAAAGAGGCCUUGACCUAGAAGCUGCAGAAAUUCCCCAGGAAGAACCAGGACGAGGAGUCCAAUGAGACCCCGAAGCUGCUGAGGAGGCCCCAGGAGUACAGGCGUGCUCAACAAAAAAAGAAUAUACAACAACAAAGAUAGCAUAUGAAGUUCUUCGAAUUUUUAGAAAACCUGGUAUUUACGGUAAAAAAAGGAUGAUGAUUAACUAUUUUAAUAUGCAGCGCAUCCUGCUAUGUGGCCCCAGCCCCAGUUUUCUUUUCUGGCAUGCCAGCACUGCAGCACCU
Alligator sinensis (Chinese alligator) is the source of this 662-nucleotide long non-coding RNA. RefSeq lists it as uncharacterized. The transcript is spliced from 3 exons. The record is from RefSeq and is a predicted model, not a curated record. Lineage: Eukaryota; Metazoa; Chordata; Crocodylia; Alligatoridae.